Molecule: long non-coding RNA, 515 nt
Organism: Gossypium arboreum
Lineage: Eukaryota; Viridiplantae; Streptophyta; Magnoliopsida; Malvales; Malvaceae
Exons: 2
Source: RefSeq, a predicted model, not a curated record
GCGAAGGGGAAGGACCAAACUCAAAAUUACCCACUUUGAGAGCAAAAGCGCAAAUUCCGGCACCAUUUUGUUUGCCAUUUAAAAAACAAACCCAAAAAUCAUUAAAUGACUUUCUGCCAUUUUUCUUAAGUAAAACCCUAGCCCCUUUUCUAUUGUUUCAUCACCGUAAGCAGCAGUGAACGUCAAAUCCGACUCUAUUUGGAGUCGUAUCCUCCUAAUCCCAACCCAAACUUCGAUUUUCACGAAGCAAACAAGGAUUUGAAGGCUCUUAUCAAGUGCGUGGGCGAGCACGCCACUAACGUGUCGUGGUGGAGCGGCGCACGUUGCGAGGUGGUGGCAUUUGGCCCCCGAGGGAGGCAUGGGCCGUGGCGUGAGCUCUAACGACGGUUCCUAGGGUUUUUGUUGAAACCUGUUUGAGUUUGGGCCAUUUGGGCCUUGUAGUUUGGGUCUUAGGAUUUGGGUUGGUUUUGGGCUUGAACUGGUUGUUAAAUGAACAUUUUAAUAUUUUUGUUUUA